RNAcentral lists this small nuclear RNA (143 nucleotides) under Trichoplax adhaerens. RNAcentral describes it as "U4 spliceosomal RNA". It matches the Rfam family "U4 spliceosomal RNA". From Rfam's summary of the family: U4 small nuclear RNA (U4 snRNA) is a component of the major U2-dependent spliceosome. The structure of U4 snRNA from yeast and human has been reported. Lineage: Eukaryota; Metazoa; Placozoa; Uniplacotomia; Trichoplacea; Trichoplacidae. The record is from Rfam by way of RNAcentral. RNAcentral also lists the same sequence under 1 other name.
AACUUUGCGCAGUGGCAGUACCGUAGCCAGUGAGGUUUUACCGAGGCGCGGUUAUUGCUAGUUGAAAACUUUUCCCAAUAUCCCGCACGACGACUCGUCUAAACGACAGUCGGCGUUGCAAUUUUUGAAGGCUCUUCACAGAG